AGGGUUUGAUCCUGGCUCAGAAUGAACGUUGGUGGCGUGGAUUAGGCAUGCAAGUCGAGCGAGAAUUGUUUCGUGGAAGCUUCGGCCGAAACGAUUCAAGGACAGCGGCAAACGGGGUAGUAAUGCGUAGGUUACGUACCCUCUGGACCGGGAUAGCCACGGGAAACUGUGGGUAAUACCGGAUAAUCUCUCCGGAGCAAAUGGUGUGAUUCCGCCAGAGGAGCGGCUUACGUGGUACCAGGUUGUUGGUGAGGUAACGGCUCACCAAGCCAAAUACGCCUAGGGGGUGUGAGAGCAUGGCCCCCACCACUGGGACUGAGACACUGCCCAGACAUCUACGGAUGGCUGCAGUCGAGAAUCUUCGGCAAUGGACGCAAGUCUGACCGAGCGACGCCACGUGCGGGAUGACGGCCCUUGGGUUGUAAACCGCUGUCAGAGGGGAUGAAAUCAUUGGGGGUUAUCCCCCUUUGUUGACAGAGCCUCAGAGGAAGCACGGGCUAAGUACGCGCCAGCAGCCGCGGUAAUACGUACUGUGCGAACGUUAUUCGGAAUCACUGGGCUUAAAGGGUGCGUAGGCGGUCUGAUAAGUAGGAUGUGAAAUCCCCCGGCUUAACCGGGGAACUGCGUUCUAAACUGUCAGUCUUGAGUGAGAUAGGGGUGUGCGGAACUUCCGGUGGAGCGGUG
This 684-nucleotide ribosomal RNA is filed under the name uncultured bacterium. Its description in RNAcentral is "bacterial SSU rRNA". It matches the Rfam family "Bacterial small subunit ribosomal RNA", at positions 8 to 683 of the family's 1533-position model. The record is from RNAcentral.